RNAcentral lists this ribosomal RNA (837 nucleotides) under uncultured bacterium. Its description in RNAcentral is "bacterial SSU rRNA". It matches the Rfam family "Bacterial small subunit ribosomal RNA", at positions 67 to 916 of the family's 1533-position model. The record is from RNAcentral.
CGGGGCAGCGAAUUUUUAACCUAGCGGCGGACGGGUGAGUAACGCGUGGGUAACCUACCCUAAAGCCCGGGAUAACAGCGGGAAACUGCUGCUAAUACCGGAUAGCUUUAUCUGGAGGCAUCUUCGGAUAAGGAAAGAUUUAUCGCUUUAGGAUGGGCCCGCGUCCCAUUAGCUAGUUGGUGAGGUAACGGCUCACCAAGGCGACGAUGGGUAGCCGGCCUGAGAGGGUGAACGGCCACACUGGGACUGAGACACGGCCCAGACUCCUACGGGAGGCAGCAGUAGGGAAUAUUGCGCAAUGGAGGGAACUCUGACGCAGCGACGCCGCGUGAGCGAUGAAGGUCUUCGGAUCGUAAAGCUCUGUCCUUGGGGAAGAAGGUCUUCGGACUUGACGGUACCUAAGGAGGAAGCCCCGGCUAACUACGUGCCAGCAGCCGCGGUAAUACGUAGGGGGCAAGCGUUGUCCGGAAUUAUUGGGCGUAAAGGGUGCGUAGGCGGCCUUUUAAGUCAGAUGUGAAAGCCCACGGCUUAACCGUGGGACUGCAUUUGAAACUGGAGGGCUUGAGUAUCGGAGAGGGUAGUGGAAUUCCCAGUGUAGCGGUGGAAUGCGUAGAUAUUGGGAGGAACACCAGUGGCGAAGGCGACUACCUGGACGAAAACUGACGCUGAGGCACGAAAGCUAGGGGAGCAAACAGGAUUAGAUACCCUGGUAGUCCUAGCCGUAAACGAUGGGUACUAGGUGUAGGAGGUUUCGAUACCUUCUGUGCCGCAGUUAACGCAAUAAGUACCCCGCCUGGGGAGUACGUGCGCAAGCAUGAAACUCAAAGGAAUUGACGG